GACGAACGCUGGCGGCGUGCCUAAUACAUGCAAGUCGAGCGAAGUUUUUCUGGUGCUUGCACUAGAAAAACUUAGCGGCGAACGGGUGAGUAACACGUAAAGAACCUGCCUCAUAGACUGGGACAACUAUUGGAAACGAUAGCUAAUACCGGAUAACAGUAUUUCUCGCAUGAGAGAUAUUUAAAAGUUGGUUAUGCUAACACUAUGAGAUGGCUUUGCGGUGCAUUAGCUAGUUGGUGGGGUAAAGGCCCACCAAGGCGACGAUGCAUAGCCGACCUGAGAGGGUGAUCGGCCACACUGGGACUGAGACACGGCCCAGACUCCUACGGGAGGCAGCAGUGGGGAAUCUUCCGCAAUGGGCGAAAGCCUGACGGAGCAACGCCGCGUGAGUGAAGAAGGAUUUCGGUUCGUAAAGCUCUGUUGUUAGGGAAGAAUGGAUAUGUAGUAACUAUACAUGUAAGAGACGGUACCUAACCAGAAAGCCACGGCUAACUACGUG
RNAcentral lists this ribosomal RNA (499 nucleotides) under uncultured bacterium. RNAcentral describes it as "partial 16S ribosomal RNA". It matches the Rfam family "Bacterial small subunit ribosomal RNA", at positions 28 to 507 of the family's 1533-position model. The record is from RNAcentral.